This 728-nucleotide ribosomal RNA is filed under the name Nesterenkonia sp. C1. RNAcentral describes it as "partial 16S ribosomal RNA". The stretch from base 32 to 477 matches the Rfam family "Bacterial small subunit ribosomal RNA", at positions 30 to 543 of the family's 1533-position model. Lineage: Bacteria; Bacillati; Actinomycetota; Actinomycetes; Micrococcales; Micrococcaceae. The record is from RNAcentral.
GCUGUGAUGACCGAUUCGAAUGCUGGACUAGUGAGCGUGAGCUGCGUUGCACUGUGAGUAGAUUAAUCCCUGGCUCGGUGAGUCAUCACGUGAGUAACCUGCCCUGUGAGCUCUGUGAUACGCCCGGAACUGGGUCUAAUCACCGAUAUGACCAGUCACCGCAUGUGUGCUGGUGGAAGCUUACGUUUUCGGAUGGACUCGCGGCUAUCAGCUAGACGUGAGUAAUGGCUCACCGUGGCGAUGACGGUAGCCCGCCCUGAGAGGUGACCGGCACACUGGGACUGAGACACGGCCCAGACUCCUACGGGAGGCAGCAGUGGGGAUAUUGCACAAUGGGCCAAAGUUGAUGCAGCAACGCCGCUGUUGGAUGACGGCCUUCGGUUGGAAACACUUCAGCAGGAAGAAGCUUUUGGACGUACUGCAAGAAGAAGCCCCGCUAACUAAGUGCAGCAGCCCCGUAAUACUCAGGCCACGUUAUCCGAUUUUUGGCUUAAGUUUCUAGGCGUUGUCACUUUUGCUGGAAAGCCCAGUUUACCCGGUUGUAGUUGUACUGCAAAUCUAGUCUGUACCGAGCUUGAUACCUGGAUUCGGAGAUCUUCAUAUACCGGGGCCCUUUGAGCGGGCUUUGCUUUCUCGCAUGGCGACGUUGGGCACAGUAUACCUGUUCUCCAAUUUGCUGUUGUGAUAUCCUUCCCAUGUUACUUAGCCUGGGUGCUACGAUCUAUGUA